This 404-nucleotide ribosomal RNA is filed under the name uncultured bacterium. RNAcentral describes it as "bacterial SSU rRNA". It matches the Rfam family "Bacterial small subunit ribosomal RNA", at positions 28 to 434 of the family's 1533-position model. The record is from RNAcentral.
GAUGAACGCUGGCGGCGCGCCUAACACAUGCAAGUCGAACGGCACCCACCCUCGGGUGGAAGCGAGUGGCGAACGGCUGAGUAACACGUGGAGAACCCGCCCCCUCCUCCGGGAUAGCCUCGGGAAACCGUGGGUAAUACCGGAUGACCCCGCAGGGCCGCAUGGCCCCGCGGGCAAAGCCCAGACGGGAGGGGAUGGCUCCGCGGCCCAUCAGGUAGACGGCGGGGUGACGGCCCACCGUGCCGACGACGGGUAGCCGGGUUGAGAGACCGACCGGCCAGAUUGGGACUGAGACACGGCCCAGACUCCUACGGGAGGCAGCAGUGGGGAAUCUUGCGCAAUGGGGGGAACCCUGACGCAGCGACGCCGCGUGCGGGACGAAGGCCCUCGGGUCGUAAACCGCU